This 484-nucleotide ribosomal RNA is filed under the name uncultured bacterium. Its description in RNAcentral is "partial 16S ribosomal RNA". It matches the Rfam family "Bacterial small subunit ribosomal RNA", at positions 30 to 507 of the family's 1533-position model. The record is from RNAcentral.
AUUGAACGCUGGCGGCAUGCCUUACACAUGCAAGUCGAACGGUAACAGGUCUUUCGGGAUGCUGACGAGUGGCGAACGGGUGAGUAAUACAUCGGAACGUGCCUAGUAGUGGGGGAUAACUACUCGAAAGAGUGGCUAAUACCGCAUGAGAUCUAUGGAUGAAAGCAGGGGACCUUUGGGCCUUGUGCUACUAGAGCGGCCGAUGGCAGAUUAGGUAGUUGGUGGGAUAAAAGCUUACCAAGCCUACGAUCUGUAGCUGGUCUGAGAGGACGAUCAGCCACACUGGGACUGAGACACGGCCCAGACUCCUACGGGAGGCAGCAGUGGGGAAUUUUGGACAAUGGGCGCAAGCCUGAUCCAGCAAUGCCGCGUGCAGGAUGAAGGCCUUCGGGUUGUAAACUGCUUUUGUACAGAACGAAAAGUCUUGGGUUAAUACCCUGGGAUCAUGACGGUACCGUAAGAAUAAGCACCGGCUAACUACGUG